Molecule: ribosomal RNA, 2606 nt
Filed under: Triticum aestivum (bread wheat)
Lineage: Eukaryota; Viridiplantae; Streptophyta; Magnoliopsida; Poales; Poaceae
Description: partial small subunit ribosomal RNA
Source: RNAcentral
AUUGCACUCACCCAGCUGCCAGCCAGUUGGGGUAAAAUACUCUGCCCCCAGUCUCCCUUGGCUGGCUCGCUGUCUGGAUUUGCUUGCCCUUUGUUGCUCUCCGACUCCCACGCUCUCCGCCCGGCACAAACUUCUACUCCUCCUACUCCUCCGUCUCCGUCCCCCUUCUUCUUCCCCCUUUUGCCGCUUUUGGGGACCUCGACCCCUCUCAAAUCCAGAGGAAGGCCGGGGGAAAGCAAGCACAAGCACAGCUCCCCCUCCGGCUCCAGCCACCCCAACAAAAGGUUCCCUCUCCCCCUUCCCUUCCCCCUCAAUCUCGCCACUCCCGUCCUCCGCCGCCGGUUCUUGGAUCCUGGAUUUGGCGGCCGGUGGAGCCGAAAGAUUCCAUAUUUGUUUAUUCCGCAAGGUGGAGGGAGGGUGUGGCGAUGGGGGCGUCGCCUGAUCUGCCGGCGUCCGCCUGGUGGAGCGCCUCCUGGACGAGGCCUGAUCCGUAUUGGUCCCAGUGAUCUGGCCGCGCCGGCGGCUCGGGUCCGUGGUGCCAGGGUUUGUCUGCUGCCCGGCGGCUGCUUGGAGAUCUUUCUUGCGCUGUUGCCUGUUGGGGGGUGAGUUCAGGAGCUGUGAGGAUUUGCCUAGAUCCCUCUCUGUUCCUGCUGCUGAUUUGCUGUGCUGGGAUACUGCUAGGGUUUUGUCGUGCUCAUAGGUUGUCUGUGGUAGGAGAAGAUGAUUAAACAGAUCCUUGGCAGGCUGCCCAAGAAGACAGGGAAGGCCGGCGAUGGCCGGGAUGCUGCCACGGCCAACGGCAACGAGCCGUCCAACUCUUACAGCGUUGCAAGGAGUGUGGAGCCUGGUGGGAAUAAGAGAGCAGGAAAUGGGGAGCACCUGCCACCAGCUGGCUCCGCUUCUACUCCGGCGAUGAAUGGGGCUGUGGUGUAUCACUCCAACGAGCCGCUGCCGGCGUUCAAGGACGUGCCGGUCUCGGAGAAGCAGAAUCUGUUUGUCAGAAAGGCCACCCUGUGCUGUGCUGUGUACGACUUCGCCGAUCCGACCAAGAACCUGAAGGAGAAGGAGAUGAAGCGGCAGACGCUUAUGGAGCUUGUUGAUUAUGUCACUUCUGCAAAUGGCAAGUUCUCGGAGGUCAUCAUGUUGGAGAUCAGCAAGAUGGUUGCAAUUAACUUGUUCCGGAGCUCGAAUCCCACUCCUCGUGAGAACAAGGCCAUCGAAGGAGUUGAUAUGGAGGAAGAAGAGCCUCUCAUGGAUCCAGCAUGGUCACACCUGCAGAUCGUUUAUGAGGUUUUCUUGAGAUUUGUAGCGUCGCAAGAGACAGACGCAAAGCUGGCCAAGAGAUACAUAGACCAUUCCUUCAUUCUCAAGCUACUAGAUCUUUUUGACUCUGAAGACCCCAGGGAAAGGGACUAUCUCAAGACAAUACUCCAUCGAAUAUAUGGUAAAUUCAUGGUGCAUCGCCCAUUCAUCAGGAAAGCAAUUAACAACAUCUUCUACAGAUUUAUAUUUGAAACGGAAAAGCAUAACGGUAUUGCAGAGCUGCUGGAGAUCUUGGGCAGUAUAAUUAAUGGUUUUGCCCUGCCACUUAAAGAGGAGCACAAAUUGUUCCUUCUCCGUGCACUGAUCCCACUUCAUAAGCCAAAGUGUGUGGCAAUGUACCAUCAGCAGCUAUCGUAUUGCAUCACACAGUUUGUUGAGAAGGAUUGCAAACUUGCUGACACUGUUAUUAGGGGCUUGCUGAAGUAUUGGCCUAUAACCAACAGCUCAAAGGAGGUGAUGUUCUUGGGUGAGCUAGAAGAGGUUUUAGAGGCAACACAGCUUGCAGAGUUCCAAAGAUGCAUGGUUCCGCUCUUCCGUCAGAUUGCCAGUAGCAUGAACAGCUCACACUUCCAGGUGGCAGAGCGAGCACUGUUUCUAUGGAACAACGACCACAUUGAGAACUUAAUCAAGCAGAAUUACAAGGUGAUACUACCCAUCAUCUUUCCCGCGCUCGAGAGAAACGCCCGGGGUCACUGGAACCAAGCUGUCCGGAGCCUGACGCUGAAUGUGCGCAAGAUCUUCACCGAUCAUGAUUCCGCGUUUUUCGGAGAGUGCAUGCAGAAGUUCGACGACGACGAGCUCAAGCAGGAGGAGUCCAGUUCGAAGCGGGAAGUGCUGUGGAAGCGCCUGGAGGAAAUGGGCGGCGAGAGCAGCCCCUCGGGUAUACCCAACGGCAAAUCCAGUCAAUAGAAUAUACCCAUAGCGACCGCGAUCGCGCGAUCCUUUGAACGAUGCGCGACUGAUUCUCUGGAACUUGGGCUGUGGUUGUAGUGUUGGAUUUUUCUUUUUUCUUCUUGGUUGGUGAGUUGACUUCCCCUGGGUAGGGUGUAUUUGGUUUCGUGAGGACUGCAUGAUCAAAAGGUAUGCAUACAUGAGAGUUUCUGUGAUAUUUGGCAUGUGUCGUGGCAUGGGUCAGGAUUAUCGUAUAGACCAAUAAACAGCGUCAGGUUUUGUUGAGGAUAUGCUCUUGGGUGGUUUACUUAAAUGACAAUGAUCAUUUUGUUAUUGCCCUUGUAUGAGCUAGCAUUGUGUUUUGUUUGGCUUACAACCAAAUAGAUUGUUGG